RNAcentral lists this ribosomal RNA (456 nucleotides) under uncultured soil bacterium. Its description in RNAcentral is "bacterial SSU rRNA". It matches the Rfam family "Bacterial small subunit ribosomal RNA", at positions 26 to 496 of the family's 1533-position model. The record is from RNAcentral.
AGGACGAACGCUGGCGGCGUGCUUAACACAUGCAAGUCGAGCGGUAAGGCCUUUCGGGGUACACGAGCGGCGAACGGGUGAGUAACACGUGGGUGAUCUGCCCUGCACUCUGGGAUAAGCCUGGGAAACUGGGUCUAAUACCGGAUAUGACCUGCUCUCGCAUGGGGGGUGGGUGGAAAGAUUUAUCGGUGCAGGAUGGGGCCCGCGGCCUAUCAGCUUGGUUGGUGGGGUAAUGGCCUACCAAGGCGACGACGGGUAGCCGACCUGAGAGGGUGACCGGCCACACUGGGACUGAGACACGGCCCAGACUCCUACGGGAGGCAGCAGUGGGAAUAUGCACAAUGGGCGAAAGCCUGAUGCAGCGACGCCGCGUGAGGAUGAAGGCCUUCGGGUUGUAAACCUCUUUCAGUCGAGGACGAAGCGACAAGUGACGGUACCUGACAGAAGAAGCACCGG